Paramuricea clavata is the source of this 1072-nucleotide non-coding RNA. The record is from the annotation of a GenBank genome assembly. NCBI's taxonomy places the organism in Eukaryota, Metazoa, Cnidaria, Anthozoa, Malacalcyonacea, Plexauridae.
AGGGACGGACCAUUAGAAAAGUGAUGGGGGGGUGGGGCAAAACCAAAAAAAAAAUUUAUUCCCAGAAAAAAAUGAAAAAAAAAAAAAUCUUUCAAGGCAUAGUGCAAAAAAAAAAAAUUCCUUGCUUAGAAGAUAGGCCAAGUGGUGUACUGGAGGGAGGGCUCAGGGGAGCUGAGCCCCCUUGUUGAAAUUUCAUGUUGACUUGGGGGGCUGCACGUUGGUCAAAUUUAGCAAAAUUUCUCCCACUCGUGAGGGUUCGUAUUGACAGCGGACAUCUUACAGAAAGUGGCCAGUUCCUGCCAGUUCUUUGAAAACAGGCGCUCCUUGCGUUAUCAACAAUAUAGUAUUGUAAUUGUUAAGCUUAACAACCCAAUAAGUAUUGGGUUGUUAACCCUAACCCCCACCCUAACCCUAACCUCUAACCCCUAACCCCCUAACCACUAACCCCUAACCCUAACCCAGGAAUAAAGCUGCCGGGAUCUACCCACCCGCCACCCCUUCACCUCCAUCCCAAGACAGUUACACUUAUAACUAAAACUUUUGUGCAAUGCUUGCGGUUUUCUUUCCAGUAACAACCCAAUAACUUAUUGUGUUGUUAAGCUUAACAAUUACAAUACUAUAUUGUUGAUAACGUGCGGAACGGGUGUUGAAAAAUGCAAAAGUUUCAAUUUUACACCGCAAGUCCACUGACAAUAUGAACCUGCGAUCCUGGGAGAAAAUUUGUUGAAUGUAACCAGCGUGCUGAGCUCCCCUAUAUGCCUAUAUUAUGGCACGUUGCAUAAUUGAUAAUCUUAACAACGUGCGAAAACACACACAAAAAAAUACCAGUAAACGAGAAUGUUCUUUAGAAUUGCAUCUCAUUUUCACUCAUCAUUUAACACAAUGAUUUUUGUAAUCUUUAUAUCGCCAUUUUUGUAAUGUUUAUAUCAUUUAGUACCACUAAAUUGUAAAUUUCGACAUACUAAAACGCUGUUUUCUGACCAUCAGAAUUCUGUCAAAUCUUCCCCAAAGUCCAGGAAAUGGUAUUUCAGAGACUCUAAAUUUAAAAAUUUCCUCGGACCUUCGGCCCUCG